This 107-nucleotide small nuclear RNA is filed under the name Tursiops truncatus (common bottlenose dolphin). RNAcentral also lists the same sequence under 1 other name. The record is from RNAcentral. Lineage: Eukaryota; Metazoa; Chordata; Mammalia; Artiodactyla; Delphinidae.
GAGCUUGCUUCGGCAGCACAUAUACUAAUAUUGGAAUGAUACAGAGAAGAUUAGCAUGGCCCCUGUGCAAGGAUGACAUGCAAAUUUGUGAAGCGUUCCAUAUUUUU